AGUUGCAAGUGGACAUCAUGCUUCAAGAAAUUUAUUAAUUAUGGUGAACUUAGUGCCCAUAUAGUAUGUCACAUAGAGGGAACAAAUAGAUGCCAAUGGGAAGACUGCCGUGAAUGUUUUUCAGCUGUAAGAAGAUUUGAGCUGCAUCUUUUGAGACAUUUGUAUGAUAACAGCGAGAUAUUCAAAACAAUCGAUGAAUGGAAAAACACGCUACCUGAUGGGAAGAUCAAUGAACAGACAACAGAUCUGAAUAUGUGUCCGCUUCAUCUUAGGUCCAAACUGAUGCUGCUCUUAUUUGAUGAAGAUUUCUCCAUUCCAACGGGUUAUUUCACAAUAGAGGAACACUACAAAUACCUGGAAUUGCUAAGUAUACGUCUUCCUUCUGAUUAUGAAAAAAAUAAACUUCUUACUUAAAAGAAAAUAUUUAGGUGAAAACUGGGAAAAUGAUGAGGGAAAGUGUCCAACUGUACAGUUUAAUACUGCUGCUGACUAUAGUCCUACUCCUAAAGAUAUAUAUACUGUAGCUAGUUAUAAUGAAAAAAAUGUGUUUGUCUCUACAUCUAGACCAGAGUUGUGCAAUACAUACUUCUCAGGAACAACUUUAAACAAAGGAAUGCGGAAAAGAAGAAAAGAAGAAAAUCAAAUGAGAAUGUUCAAUUAAAUGUUGACAAUAAAUUGUGGUCAGAUAUAUUGAUUGAAAAUUUAACAAACUGUUCAAACGCUUUAAAAUUGCAAAAUCUUGUAUUACAAACUUUAGCAGAAAAGGGUUUUGUUACAUCAAAGAAGCAAUCUUUUUUAAAAUUAGAACAAGAAGCUAGUAGAUUAUCUGCACAUAACAACUGUACAACUGGAACCUUUGUAUGUUCAGUUUUUAAAAAUAAAAUUGAAGACAAUGAAUUUUAUUAUGUAAGGUAUGUGUUGAAUCUGGAGUUUACAGUGGAUUCAUGGAACAGAAGUACUUAUAUUUCCUUAAGGCGCAUUUUAAUGUUGCAGAUGAUAAUGUUUUGUUGCAUCAAGUUAUUACAUUGGAAGAUAUAAAUCAAAUGAAAAUCGAUGAAAAUAAACAUAAUAUAAAAAGGAA
Dreissena polymorpha is the source of this 1081-nucleotide long non-coding RNA. RefSeq lists it as uncharacterized. The record is from RefSeq and is a predicted model, not a curated record. The transcript has 3 exons. Lineage: Eukaryota; Metazoa; Mollusca; Bivalvia; Myida; Dreissenidae.